RNAcentral lists this unclassified non-coding RNA (500 nucleotides) under uncultured Glomus. RNAcentral's name for it is "SSU rRNA". It matches the Rfam family "Eukaryotic small subunit ribosomal RNA", at positions 591 to 1092 of the family's 1831-position model. Lineage: Eukaryota; Fungi; Glomeromycota; Glomeromycetes; Glomerales; Glomeraceae. The record is from RNAcentral.
CCAAUAGCGUAUAUUAAAGUUGUUGCAGUUAAAAAGCUCGUAGUUGAAUUUCGGGGUCAGUAGGUCGGUCGUGCCACUGGUAUGAACUGGUUUUACUGAUUCCUCCCUCUUGAAGAACUGUAAUGCCAUUAAUUUGGUGUUGCAGGGAAUCAGGACUGUUACUUUGAAAAAAUUAGAGUGUUUAAAGCAGGCUUUAGCUUGAAUACAUUAGCAUGGAAUAAUGAAAUAGGACGUUUGAUCCUAUUUUGUUGGGUUCUAGGAUUGACGUAAUGAUUAAUAGGGAUAGUUGGGGGAAUUAGUAUUCAAUUGUCAGAGGUGAAAUUCUUGGAUUUAUUGAAGACUAACUACUGCGAAAGCAUUUGCCAAGGAUGUUUUCAUUAAUCAAGAACGAAAGUUAGGGGAUCGAAGACGAUCAGAUACCGUCGUAGUCUUAACCAUAAACUAUGCCGACUAGGGAUCGGAUGAUGUUAAUUUUUUAAUGACUCAUUCGGCGCCUUACG